UNUGACUUGAGUGCAGAAGGGGAGAGUGGAAUUCCAUGUGUAGCGGUGAAAUGCGUAGAUAUAUGGAGGANCACCAGUGGCGAAAGCGGCUCUCUGGUCUGUCACUGACGCUGAGGCUCGAAAGCGUGGGUAGCGAACAGGAUUAGAUACCCUGGUAGUNCACGCCGUAAACGAUGAGUGCUAGGUGUUAGGCCCUUUCCGGGGCUUAGUGCCGGAGCUAACGCAAUAAGCACUCCGCCUGGGGAGUACGACCGCAAGGUUGAAACUCAAAGGAAUUGACGGGGGCCCGCACAAGCGGUGGAGCAUGUGGUUUAAUUCGAAGCAACGCGAAGAACCUUACCAGGUCUUGACAUCCCGAUGCUAUUCUUAGAGAUAGGAAGUUACUUCGGUACAUCGGAGACAGGUGGUGCAUGGUUGUCGUCAGCUCGUGUCGUGAGAUGUUGGGUUAAGUCCCGCAACGAGCGCAACCCUUAUUGUUAGUUGCCAUCAUUAAGUUGGGCACUCUAGCGAGACUGCCGGUAAUAAAUCGGAGGAAGGUGGGGAUGACGUCAAAUCAUCAUGCCCCUUAUGACCUGGGCUACACACGUGCUACAAUGGUCGGUACAACGAGUUGCGAGCCGGUGACGGCAAGCUAAUCUCUGAAAGCCGAUCUCAGUUCGGAUUGGAGGCUGCAACU
This 676-nucleotide ribosomal RNA is filed under the name uncultured bacterium. RNAcentral's name for it is "bacterial SSU rRNA". It matches the Rfam family "Bacterial small subunit ribosomal RNA", at positions 636 to 1312 of the family's 1533-position model. The record is from RNAcentral.